This is a non-coding RNA of Acanthosepion pharaonis, 96 nucleotides long. NCBI's taxonomy places the organism in Eukaryota, Metazoa, Mollusca, Cephalopoda, Sepiida, Sepiidae. The record is from the annotation of a GenBank genome assembly.
CAAAACACCGGUUGCCGUACAAUCACCAUAGUUAAGCAACGUCAAGCCUGGUCAGUACUUCGAUGGGUGAAGGCUUGGGAAUAUCAGGUGAUGUCA